RNAcentral lists this ribosomal RNA (253 nucleotides) under uncultured bacterium. RNAcentral's name for it is "partial 16S ribosomal RNA". It matches the Rfam family "Bacterial small subunit ribosomal RNA", at positions 524 to 776 of the family's 1533-position model. The record is from RNAcentral.
UACGGGGGGGGCAAGCGUUGUUCGGAAUUACUGGGCGUAAAGGGCUCGUAGGUGGCCAACUAAGUCAGACGUGAAAUCCCUCAGCUUAACUAGGGAACUGCGUCUGAUACUGAUUGGCUUGAAUUCGGGAGAGGGAUGCAGAAUUCCAGGUGUAGCGGUGAAAUGCGUAGAUAUCUGGAGGAAUACCGGUGGCGAAGGCGGCAUCCUGGACCGACAUUGACGCUGAACGGCGAAAGCUAGGGGAGCAAACGGG